UAAGGAAUAUUGGUCAAUGGACGCAAGUCUGAACCAGCCAUGCCGCGUGGAGGAUGAAGGUCCUCUGGAUUGUAAACUUCUUUUAUCUGGGAAGAAAUCCACUUUUUCUAGAGUGGUUGACGGUACCAGAUGAAUAAGCACCGGCUAAUUCCGUGCCAGCAGCCGCGGUAAUACGGAGGGUGCAAGCGUUAUCCGGAUUCACUGGGUUUAAAGGGUGCGUAGGUGGGCAAGUAAGUCAGUGGUGAAAUCUCCGGGCUUAACCCGGAAACUGCCAUUGAUACUAUUUGUCUUGAAUACUGUGGAGGUCAGCGGAAUAUGUCAUGUAGCGGUGAAAUGCUUAGAUAUGACAUAGAACACCAAUUGCGAAGGCAGCUGGCUACACAAAUAUUGACACUGAGGCACGAAAAGCGUGGGGAUCAAACAGGAUUAGAUACCCUGGUAGUCCAACGCCCUAAACUAUGGAUACUCGACAUUUGCGAU
This 480-nucleotide ribosomal RNA is filed under the name uncultured Bacteroidota bacterium. Its description in RNAcentral is "bacterial SSU rRNA". It matches the Rfam family "Bacterial small subunit ribosomal RNA", at positions 355 to 830 of the family's 1533-position model. The record is from RNAcentral. Lineage: Bacteria; Pseudomonadati; Bacteroidota.